UGGGGAAUAUUGCGCAAUGGACGAAAGUCUGACGCAGCGACGCCGCGUGUGGGAUGACGGUCUUCGGAUUGUAAACCACUGUCGGGAGGGACGAAUACGCCGCAAGGCGGGUGACGGUACCUCCAAAGGAAGCACCGGCUAACUCCGUGCCAGCAGCCGCGGUAAUACGGAGGGUGCGAGCGUUGUCCGGAAUCACUGGGCGUAAAGGGCGCGUAGGCGGCCUGAUAAGUAGGGGGUGAAAUCUUGCGGCUUAACCGCAAGGCUGCCUUCUAAACUGUCGGGCUCGAGCACAGUAGAGGCAGGUGGAAUUCCCGGUGUAGCGGUGGAAUGCGUAGAGAUCGGGAAGAACAUCAGUGGCGAAGGCGGCCUGCUGGGCUGUUGCUGACGCUGAGGCGCGACAGCGUGGGGAGCAAACAGG
Molecule: ribosomal RNA, 418 nt
Filed under: Bacillota bacterium
Lineage: Bacteria; Bacillati; Bacillota
Also listed under: 1 other name
Description: Firmicutes bacterium partial 16S ribosomal RNA
Rfam family: Bacterial small subunit ribosomal RNA
Source: RNAcentral